RNAcentral lists this ribosomal RNA (745 nucleotides) under uncultured organism. Its description in RNAcentral is "SSU rRNA". It matches the Rfam family "Bacterial small subunit ribosomal RNA", at positions 273 to 1030 of the family's 1533-position model. The record is from RNAcentral.
GGAAUGAUGGGUAGCCGGCCUGACAGGGUGAACGGGCACAAUGGAACUGAUACCCGGCCCUUACUCCUACUAGAGGCAGCAGCGCGGAAUAUUGCUACAAUGGACCGAGAGUCUGAUCCAGCAAUUCUGUGUGCACCAUGAAGUUUUUCAGAAUGAAAACUGCUUUCACUUGCUAACAAAAAAAUGACGGUACCAACACAACAGGUGAAGGAUAAAUACGUGCCAGCAUCCGCGGUAAUACAUAUGUCACCAGCGUUAUCCCCACUUAUAGCACCUAAAUCGCGUCUAUGUGCCUAUGUAAGUCUGAUGCGAAAAUGCUUGGUUCAACUCUGUAUUGCGUUGGAAACUGCAUAACUAGAAUACUGUAGAGCUAACCGUAGCUACGAGAGUAGAGGUGAAAUUCGUAGAUAUUUGUACGAAUGCCGAUGGGGAAGCCAGCUUACUGAACAGAGACUGACGCUAGAGCGCGAAAGCGAGGGGAGCAACCAGGAUUAGAUACCCUGAUAGUACUCGUCGUAAACGAUGAUCAUUAGGUGUCGGGGAGCAAAGAUCUUGCGGUGCCGCAGCAAACGCAAUAAGUAGUACUAUCUGGGGAGUACGUUCGCAAGAAUGAAACUCAAAGGAAUUGACGGGGACCCGCACAAGCGGUGGAGCAUGUGGUUCAAUUAGUAGCAACGCGAAGAGCAUUAUCUGGUCUUGACAUGCCUCUGACCGGUAUUUAAUCGGAGUUUUCUUUUGGGACAGA